UGAAACGAACCCUUCUUGCUUUCUUGAGUACUGCUUCGCUCGCUCAUCAAUUACAAAGGGUUUCGCUGCAUUCAACUCACGUUCGGCACGAAGAAUGAACACUUUCAUCUUUAUUAUCUGCGUUUCCUUCAUCUUUUUCCUCCCCGGUAUAAUAAGCUAUAGCGAUCGCAAACAAGUGGUAUUCACGAAUGGGUCGACGCUGACGGUUCUGACCUGUUCCAUACCCAAUGCCAAAGAAGCGGUGUGGAAAUUUAAACCUGCCUCAGGAGAUGAAAAAAAAGAAAUAUGCAAAAUGCAUGAAGGCAAUGAGCAAUGUAAUUCCACCCAGUUCCCAAACAUUAAAUUGGCUGAUCCUGAUGGAUUCAGAAAAGGUAAUUACUCACUUCAGCUAGUAGCAAAAAAUACAGAUGCUGGAAUUUACUACUGCAAAGUCAAUUCUUCGAAAGUCCACGAAACAGAAAUCAGACUUAUAAGUUUCAAAGUAUCUGCAACCCCAGAAAACCCGAUUUGUGAGGGAGCCACGGUGCAGCUGAUGCUAGAAUCAUCCGAUAUUUCCUAUUUUCGCAAUAUGACAUGGAGCGUUUCGACCAAUAAGAUAAAAGGGGAAGGGAUUGAAAUUUAUUGGAAGCUAAAUAAGGAAAAGAUAGUCAACAAUUCGCGUUUCCAGUUCGAUUACAGAAGUUUAAACAUCAGCGGGUUUCGCUCGGAGGAUCAGGGGCGCUACGUCUACACUGUGAAAUGCAGCAAAGGAAAUUCGUCAUUUUACAGCAUCUCACUUCAAAUAGCAGGAGCAACUACUUCUCAGACUAAUACAUCUCUUUCGACAACAGGAACAACUGCUUCUCAGACUAAUACAUCUCUUUCGACAACAGGAACAACUGCUUCUCAGACUAAUACAUCUCUUUUGACAACAGGAAUCUGGAUCGCCGCCUUCCUCUUCGGAACGCUGGGGAUUAUGAUCAUCAUCAUUCUUCUCUGUAUCAUCAUCAAAAAGAAAUGCACAUCAGCAGGAGAUCCAGACACAGUUCAGGCUGCGACGGUGGAUAACGAGGUCCCCUAUGCAACGAUUAACCUGGCUGCAUCGAACAAAGCUGAACCGAGUGCUCCAGUAACUACAGAGAACACCUUGUAUGCACAGGUUAAAAGAGAGCGGGCAGAGCCUGCCACAAAUGAGAUUUCAGUUUAAUCUGAUCUCCUGAGUGUAUCCAUAUGGGUUUUGACACUGCUUCGCUGUGCCCCACGCAGGUAUCUCUGCAAAGAAAUUUUCACAACUUCUUUGCACGUUGAUUCUCUGCCUGAAAGCCACACCUCCUCACCCCACCAUGACUAGGUCACACGGCAGACCAGACAGCACAGGAAGAUGUAUAUGUUCAUUCCUAGUGCUGAAUUUGCAAAGCAGCCAUCUGUAGUGCAUUUAAACCCUUUUGUUGAUCAUUUAGUGACAGCUUUCUUCCAAUGUGCAAGUUUGAAAGCAAUUGAUUUGCCUCUUUUUCACUUCCCUCUUCUGUGUUCCAGUGGAGUGACCGUUUUGCCCUGACCUUUCACUCUCUCCUGUCUUGUCAAUACAGAUCAUUUCCUUGCUGAAUUCAUCUAAACAAAUGAGCUGGCAGCAUUGUCAGAACAAUAUUAGGUACUUUUCCCAACAGUGGCCUCCUGGCAUUCAGAUUGGUGGGUUUCUGAAAGCCAGUAGUCUCUCAGAGUUUGGCACAUUCCCACUGGCUUUUCAGGUUUGCAGAGUAGGUUAAGGGCCUUUGAUUGAGCUAUAGGACCUGGAUGGUGGAGAGAAUGGGUCUCUUACUUUAAAGAUUCAAUUUAGGGGUUUGCGAAUCACUGGACUUCCCCACAUUCCCAGAAAAACUUUUCCUCCAACGACUUGUCCAAUGGCCUUGGUAAAUUACCAUCUGGUUCCGAUCAUUUCAUAAAAGAGCACUGUAUUCUUAAUACAGUGAUUGUUUUGGCAAUUAUACAAAGAAGUAAUUUGUUAUUUGUUUUAGCUAACCACAGCAUGAAAUUUAAUUCUAUUAUCGAGCAUCCCUUUAAGUGCAAAGGUCUGAAGGGAUACGAUGCAAUUGCUUAACAUGCAGUGAUCAGACUUGGAUGCAAAGGAAAAUCAAAUUAUUGGUGGGAGAGGAGGGAUGAUAGGUGAUAAUUGGUUAGUUAGGAUUCUCCUGGGCAUAUUAGAGUCAUCCUGUUUCUUCUAGUUUAUAUUAAAUCCAAUUGUCUAUUAUUCCUGGACUUUCUUGAGUGUCCCCAACAUGUUUAAGUUUCUCUAUUGACACAGUAUUAUAACACAUUCCACUUUAGCCAGUGGGAUAUAAUGAUGUUUAGAAAAUGGGGAACCUAAUGCAUUUUGAGGGGUGCCAAAACUGAGCCUCUGGGAAUUUCAGAGGAGGUCAUGAAUCAGACCCCCACCUCCCCCCACUGUAUUUCAAGAGAGAAACAGGGAACACUGCCUGGUAUACCUGAUCUUAAAUGACUGAGAUCAUCAAACUAAUCUCAUUAUUUUUUUGUCAGGUGCUGGUGGCACGAAAAAAAUGUAACACAGAUCUGAAUAUCUGCAUGAGGUUACUGUACUGCCCUAUCUGAAUAUCUGCUCUGAAUUUCAUUCCCCU
Molecule: RNA transcript, 2612 nt
Organism: Mobula hypostoma (lesser devil ray)
Lineage: Eukaryota; Metazoa; Chordata; Chondrichthyes; Myliobatiformes; Myliobatidae
Exons: 10
Source: RefSeq, a predicted model, not a curated record